AGACCGAUAGCGAACAAGUAGAGAGACCGAUAGCGAACAAGCACUUUGNGAAAGAGAGUCAAACAGCACGUGAAAUUGUUAAAAGGGAAGCGCUUGCAGCCAGACUUGCUUGCAGUUGCUCAUCCGGGCUUUUGCCCGGUGCACUCUUCUGUAGGCAGGCCAGCAUCAGUUUGGGCGGUAGGAUAAAGGUCUCUGUCACGUACCUCCUUUCGGGGAGGCCUUAUAGGGGAGACGACAUACUACCAGCCUGGACUGAGGUCCGCGCAUCUGCUAGGAUGCUGGCGUAAUGGCUGUAAGCGGCCCGUCUUGAAACACGGACCAAG
Molecule: ribosomal RNA, 323 nt
Filed under: Ulocladium sp. SW292
Lineage: Eukaryota; Fungi; Ascomycota; Dothideomycetes; Pleosporales; Pleosporaceae
Description: LSU rRNA
Rfam family: Eukaryotic large subunit ribosomal RNA
Source: RNAcentral